This 327-nucleotide long non-coding RNA is filed under the name Equus caballus (horse). RNAcentral describes it as "lncRNA (ENSECAG00000050644.1)". The record is from RNAcentral. Lineage: Eukaryota; Metazoa; Chordata; Mammalia; Perissodactyla; Equidae.
UGCCAUGUCCAUGCCCAGGCUCUGAACCGGCGAAACCCUGGGCUGCCAAAGCGGAGCACGCAAACUUAACCACUCGGCCAUGGGAGUCUGGCAUGGUGUUUGGAUCACAUUAGCAAUUCAAUAUAAAUUCUUUGAUUGAUUUUAUGGAAAGGAAGGAAGGAGACAAGAAGAAAGAAGGGAACGAAGGAGCUAAUCUGGAUAUCGAACAGUGACUACCAGAAAUCAAUGGAAAACAUCCCAGAUUUUCGAUGCUGGAGUUUGGCAUGGCAAGAGAUUAAAGGGAAAGAUGAGUAGCGCCUUACUAACUUGCUCCAGGGACAAAGAAUG